RNAcentral lists this ribosomal RNA (514 nucleotides) under uncultured bacterium. RNAcentral's name for it is "partial 16S ribosomal RNA". It matches the Rfam family "Bacterial small subunit ribosomal RNA", at positions 28 to 523 of the family's 1533-position model. The record is from RNAcentral.
GACGAACGCUGGCGGCGUGCCUAACACAUGCAAGUCGAACGGGGAGUUAUUUAUAACUCCUAGUGGCGAACGGGUGAGUAACGCGUAGACAACCUGCCUCUAAAUUGGGGACAACACCGCGAAAGUGGUGCUAAUACCGAAUGUGGUAACUUGGUCGCAUUACUAGGUUAAGAAAGAUGGCCUCUAUAUAUAAGCUAUCGAUUAGAGAUGGGGCGGCGUCUGAUUAGCUAGUUGGUGAGGUAAUGGCUCACCAAGGCGACGAUCAGUAGACGGUCUGAGAGGAUGAACGGCCACACUGGGACUGAGACACGGCCCAGACUCCUACGGGAGGCAGCAGUGGGGAAUCUUCCGCAAUGGACGAAAGUCUGACGGAGCAACGCCGCGUGAGUGAAGAAGGUCUUCGGAUUGUAAAGCUCUGUCGUUUGGGACGAACGUGGAUUGUGUGAAUAAUGCAGUCUAAUGACGGUACCAAAGGAGGAAGCCACGGCUAACUACGUGCCAGCAGCCGCCGCAG